This 573-nucleotide ribosomal RNA is filed under the name uncultured bacterium. RNAcentral describes it as "bacterial SSU rRNA". It matches the Rfam family "Bacterial small subunit ribosomal RNA", at positions 826 to 1394 of the family's 1533-position model. The record is from RNAcentral.
GGGGUAUCGACCCCCCUUGUGCCGCAGCUAACGCAUUAAGUAUCCCGCCUGGGGAGUACGGCCGCAAGGUUGAAACUCAAAUGAAUUGACGGGGACCCGCACAAGCGGUGGAGCAUGUGGAUUAAUUCGAUACUAACCGAAGAACCUUACCCAGGUUUGACAUCGAUCGUAAGCUCUAGAGAUAGGGCCCUCCCCCACAAGGGGACGUGAAGACACUUGUUGCAUGGCUGUCGUCAGCUCGUGCCGUGAGGUGUACGGUUAAGUCCGCCAACGAGCGCAACCCUCGUCCUGUGUUACCAGCGAGUAAAGUCGGGGACUCACAGGAGACCGCCGGUGUAAGCCGGAGGAAGGUGAGGAUGACGUCAAGUCAGCAUGGCAGUUACGCCUGGGGCUUCACACAUGCUACAAUGGGCGAAACAAAGGGCAGCAAUACCGCGAGGUGGAGCAAAUCCCAAAAAUACGCCCCCAGUUCAGAUUACAGUCUGCAACUCGACUGUAUGAAGGCGGAAUCGCUAGUAAACGCAGGUCAGCUAUACUGCGUUGAAUACGUUCCCGGGCCUUGUACACACCGCC